GGAUGUAAAUAAGAAGUAGAACCCGUCAAAAAAGGAAAAAGUAGAAGGUUGAGAGUAUAAAUAUCCAUCUUUUCACGCUAACGAAUGAUAACUAACCUCUCGCUCACUCCAAUAAUUGUGAAGAUCCGAAUCAUGAUAUCAUAUCUCGAUUUCUGCUUGGUCAAAGUUACCAGAUCACUACUUCUUUUAUAAUACUGGAUCAUCGGAACCUUUACACGUUUAAUUUAAGUACUAAUUUGCUAAUCAUAAUUUAUGAACACAGUGACUUGGAGGGCGCGUUACGCUUACGAUUUUAAUUGGAU
Molecule: long non-coding RNA, 302 nt
Filed under: Setaria viridis
Lineage: Eukaryota; Viridiplantae; Streptophyta; Magnoliopsida; Poales; Poaceae
Description: long non-coding RNA (SVIR_LNC002035)
Source: RNAcentral